CCUCGGGGGGCUGCAGUGGGGAAUAUUGGACAAUGGGCGAAAGCCUGAUCCAGCCAUGCCGCGUGUGUGAAGAAGGCCUUCGGGUUGUAAAGCACUUUCAGUGGGGAAGAAAGCCUUGGGGCUAAUACCCUCGAGGAAGGACAUCACCCACAGAAGAAGCACCGGCUAACUCCGUGCCAGCAGCCGCGGUAAUACGGAGGGUGCGAGCGUUAAUCGGAAUUACUGGGCGUAAAGCGCGCGUAGGCGGUCUGAUAAGCCGGUUGUGAAAGCCCCGGGCUCAACCUGGGAACGGCAUCCGGAACUGUCAGGCUAGAGUGCAGGAGAGGAAGGUAGAAUUCCCGGUGUAGCAGUGAAAUGCGUAGAGAUCGGGAGGAAUACCAGUGGCGAAGGCGGCCUUCUGGACUGACACUGACGCUGAGGUGCGAAAGCGUGGGUAGCAAACAGGAUUAGAUACCCCGGUAGUC
Molecule: ribosomal RNA, 464 nt
Filed under: Vreelandella stevensii
Lineage: Bacteria; Pseudomonadati; Pseudomonadota; Gammaproteobacteria; Oceanospirillales; Halomonadaceae
Description: partial 16S ribosomal RNA
Rfam family: Bacterial small subunit ribosomal RNA
Source: RNAcentral